This 73-nucleotide transfer RNA is filed under the name Canis lupus familiaris (dog). Its description in RNAcentral is "tRNA-Lys (CTT) (tRNA-Lys-CTT-21-1)". It matches the Rfam family "tRNA". From Rfam's summary of the family: Transfer RNA (tRNA) molecules are approximately 80 nucleotides in length. Their secondary structure includes four short double-helical elements and three loops (D, anti-codon, and T loops). Further hydrogen bonds mediate the characteristic L-shaped molecular structure. tRNAs have two regions of fundamental functional importance: the anti-codon, which is responsible for specific mRNA codon recognition, and the 3' end, to which the tRNAs corresponding amino acid is attached (by aminoacyl-tRNA synthetases). tRNAs cope with the degeneracy of the genetic code in two manners: having more than one tRNA (with a specific anti-codon) for a particular amino acid; and 'wobble' base-pairing, i.e. permitting non-standard base-pairing at the 3rd anti-codon position. Lineage: Eukaryota; Metazoa; Chordata; Mammalia; Carnivora; Canidae. RNAcentral also lists the same sequence under 1 other name. The record is from Rfam by way of RNAcentral.
GCCUAGCUGGCUCAGUUGGUAGACCAUGGGACUCUUGAUCUCAGGGUUGUGGGUUCAAGUCCCAUGCUGGGUG